This 208-nucleotide long non-coding RNA is filed under the name Mytilus galloprovincialis (Mediterranean mussel). Lineage: Eukaryota; Metazoa; Mollusca; Bivalvia; Mytilida; Mytilidae. The record is from RNAcentral.
AAACAAUAACACGAAAUCCUGAAAAUAACCACAUACAAAAAGAAGUUAUAAUCAAAGUACUGAAGUACUGAACAUCGGAUGACCGCAAGUUUCAAGCACUUGUCUAAAAAGAAAAUCGCAUUUCUGUACCUGAAAGUGAGGUGAAUGUACAUAAAUAUGUUAUUUUUUUCUGAGACAAGUUUGUGCGUGGAUUGUGAAUAAAUGACAC